Molecule: RNase P RNA, 349 nt
Filed under: Bacteroidaceae bacterium
Lineage: Bacteria; Pseudomonadati; Bacteroidota; Bacteroidia; Bacteroidales; Bacteroidaceae
Description: RNase P RNA component class A
Rfam family: Bacterial RNase P class A
About the family: Ribonuclease P (RNase P) is a ubiquitous endoribonuclease, found in archaea, bacteria and eukarya as well as chloroplasts and mitochondria.
Source: RNAcentral
GCAGUUGGACGGUCUGUCGCUUGCCCUUCGGGGGCAGGAGGAAAGUCCGGGCAACACAGGGCAUCCCACUUCUUAACGGGAAGCUGUCGGCGACGGCAGAGUAACGCAGAAGAAAACAACCGCCCCCCGCGGGGUAAGGGUGAGAAGGUGAGGCAAGAGCUCACCAGCUGCCGAGCGAUCGGCAGGCUGUGCGUCUUGGGAGUUGCAAGUUCAUGUAUACCGGCGCUCGAGGGCGGCCCGUCCGAGCCGGAGGGUAGAACGCUAGAGUCCGUUGGCGACAGCGGACCGAGAUAGAUGACAGACGCCCCCCGCGGGGGUACAGAACCCGGCUUACAGGCCAGCUGCUCCC